AACCGAGUCUUAAUUGGGCGUUAAGUUGCAGGGUAUAGACCCGAAACCCGGUGAUCUAGCCAUGGGCAGGUUGAAGGUUGGGUAACACUAACUGGAGGACCGAACCGACUAAUGUUGAAAAAUUAGCGGAUGACCUGUGGCUGGGGGUGAAAGGCCAAUCAAACCGGGAGAUAGCUGGUUCUCCCCGAAAGCUAUUUAGGUAGCGCCUCGUGAAUUCAUCUCCGGGGGUAGAGCACUGUUUCGGCUAGGGGGCCAUCCCGGCUUACCAACCCGAUGCAAACUGCGAAUACCGGAGAAUGUUAUCACGGGAGACACACGGCGGGUGCUAACGUCCGUCGUGAAGAGGGAAACAACCCAGACCGCCAGCUAAGGUCCCAAAGUCAUAGUUAAGUGGGAAACGAUGUGGGAAGGCCCAGACAGCCAGGAUGUUGGCUUAGAAGCAGCCAUCAUUUAAAGAAAGCGUAAUAGCUCACUGGUCGAGUCGGCCUGCGCGGAAGAUGUAACGGGGCUAAACCAUGCACCGAAGCUGCGGCAGCGACACUGUGUGUUGUUGGGUAGGGGAGCGUUCUGUAAGCCUGUGAAGGUGUGUCGUGAGGCAUGCUGGAGGUAUCAGAAGUGCGAAUGCUGACAUAAGUAACGAUAAAGCGGGUGAAAAGCCCGCUCGCCGGAAGACCAAGGGUUCCUGUCCAACGUUAAUCGGGGCAGGGUGAGUCGACCCCUAAGGCGAGGCCGAAAGGCGUAGUCGAUGGGAAACGGGUUAAUAUUCCCGUACUUGGUGUUACUGCGAAGGGGGGACGGAGAAGGCUAUGUUGGCCGGGCGACGGUUGUCCCGGUUUAAGCGUGUAGGUGUGUGUUCCAGGUAAAUCCGGUUCACUUUAACACUGAGGCGUGACGACGAGGCACUACGGUGCUGAAGCAACAAAUGCCCUGCUUCCAGGAAAAGCCUCUAAGCAUCAGGUAACAUCAAAUCGUACCCCAAACCGACACAGGUGGUCAGGUAGAGAAUACCAAGGCGCUUGAGAGAACUCGGGUGAAGGAACUAGGCAAAAUGGUGCCGUAACUUCGGGAGAAGGCACGCUGACACGUAGGUGAAGUGAUUUACUCAUGGAGCUGAAGUCAGUCGAAGAUACCAGCUGGCUGCAACUGUUUAUUAAAAACACAGCACUGUGCAAACACGAAAGUGGACGUAUACGGUGUGACGCCUGCCCGGUGCCGGAAGGUUAAUUGAUGGGGUCAGCGCAAGCGAAGCUCCUGAUCGAAGCCCCGGUAAACGGCGGCCGUAACUAUAACGGUCCUAAGGUAGCGAAAUUCCUUGUCGGGUAAGUUCCGACCUGCACGAAUGGCGUAAUGAUGGCCAGGCUGUCUCCACCCGAGACUCAGUGAAAUUGAACUCGCUGUGAAGAUGCAGUGUACCCGCGGCAAGACGGAAAGACCCCGUGAACCUUUACUAUAGCUUGACACUGAACAUUGAGCCUUGAUGUGUAG
This 1485-nucleotide ribosomal RNA is filed under the name Salmonella enterica. RNAcentral describes it as "partial 23S ribosomal RNA". It matches the Rfam family "Bacterial large subunit ribosomal RNA", at positions 675 to 2141 of the family's 2925-position model. Lineage: Bacteria; Pseudomonadati; Pseudomonadota; Gammaproteobacteria; Enterobacterales; Enterobacteriaceae. The record is from RNAcentral.